This is a long non-coding RNA of Oncorhynchus tshawytscha (Chinook salmon), 842 nucleotides long. NCBI's taxonomy places the organism in Eukaryota, Metazoa, Chordata, Actinopteri, Salmoniformes, Salmonidae. The record is from Ensembl.
GAAGCUGCAUUCCGCUUGACAUAUUAUUGAUUAUACAUUGUAAAAUCAACCUGAGGAUUGAUUAUAAAAAACGUUUGACAUGUUUCUACCUUCAUUAUAGAUACUAUUUGGAAAUUUGUCUGCGAUGUCGUAAUCGCUCGAGCCUGUGGAUUUCUGAACAUAACGUGCCAAACAAAUGGAGCCCUAGGACCAUUCCUCAAGACUACCUGGCAUGAUGACUCCUUGCUGUCCCCAGUCCACCUGGCUGUGCUGCUGAUCCAGUUUCAACUGUUCUGCCUACGGCUAUGGAACCCUGACCUGUUCACCGGAUGUGCUACCUGUCCCGACCUGCUGUUUUCAAUUCUCUAGAGACAGCAGGAGUGGUAGAGAUACUCUCAAUGAUCGACUAUGAAAAGCCAACUGACAUUUACUCCUGAGUUGAGGAUCCUUGGAAUCUGUACGCCAGACAGAGCCACAGUCUAUUUGAGGGAUGGAAAUCGUGGCUGAUCUCCAAACCAAAACAAGGAGCUACACCUCAACCUCCCUAUUUUGCAAGCCACUACCUUAGAGCAUAUGAGAGUCCUCUGCCCAUCAAAAAACAAGUACCAAGAUCAGAUGUCCUGCUCAACUACUUGCCAGCUGCUGCACGCUCUUUUUAUAAAUCACUGCAGAGUGAAUCAUUUGUUGUUAAACCAAACUACAUAAUUAACCGUUUUUUUCCUGUGAGUUUAUGAUCCCCUGAACCUGGUAUAGUAUGUUGAAUCUGAAUACAUUUCAGAAGACAUGUCACCCCUAUUGUAGGAAAUUAAAUAUAUAGUAGGUGUUUUCUAUGUGAAUCCAUUUCUGUAUGAUUUGAACCAGCA